AAGGGGUGGGGUUUAUGAUUUAGGGUUUAGGGUUUAGAGUUUAGGGUUUAGGGUUUAGGUUUUAGGGUUUAGAGUUGGGGAGUGGGGGUUUUGGGGAUAAGAUUUCAAAUUUUGAAUAAUAAAAAAAAUUUUAAUUUUUCAAAAGAUAAAAUGCUAUUUUGGUCAUUUUAGUUUUUGAGGGCUAUUUUUGUGACAUAAACUUAGAAAUGUGCUAUUUUGGAGAUUUGUCC
This 230-nucleotide long non-coding RNA is filed under the name Brassica napus (rape). RNAcentral describes it as "long non-coding RNA (BNAP_LNC019436)". Lineage: Eukaryota; Viridiplantae; Streptophyta; Magnoliopsida; Brassicales; Brassicaceae. The record is from RNAcentral.